RNAcentral lists this ribosomal RNA (561 nucleotides) under Boletellus sp. G1056. Its description in RNAcentral is "eukaryotic LSU rRNA". The stretch from base 182 to 336 matches the Rfam family "5.8S ribosomal RNA". Lineage: Eukaryota; Fungi; Basidiomycota; Agaricomycetes; Boletales; Boletaceae. The record is from RNAcentral.
GUAUGUCUUUUCAAACCAUUGAAGGUGGCAUUUGUCAUUAGAUAUACCCAACUACACCAUGUGCACACUGUGUAGGAGACACUCGCAAGAGUGGACUUCUAUGUAUCUAUAUUACACCUACUUUUGUAUGGCCAUAGAAUGUCAGUCAAGGGACCUUAACCAGUCCUUUGUUACCCUUUACAACUUUCAGCAACGGAUCUCUUGGUUCUCGCAUCGAUGAAGAACGCAGCGAAUCGCGAUAAGUAAUGUGAAUUGCAGAUUUUCAGUGAAUCAUCGAAUCUUUGAACGCACUUUGCGCUCCUGGGUAUUCCUGGGAGCAUGCCUGCUUGAGUAUCAAUUUAAUUCUCAACCAUGUUUGGUCUUUGAAAGGACUAGGCUUGGCUUGGAUUUGGGGGUUGCUGGCGCUGCAAAGAUUGUCAGCUCUCCUUAAAAGCAUUAGUGAGGAUGAUGGAUUGCGAGUAGACUCAAAUGCUUGCCCAUUGACUUGGACGUGAUAAUGAUCGUGCUAGAAGAUGGGUGUGAAAGCACUUGAGAGGAAAGCAAAUGAAUGAUGCUUGCUUC